Long non-coding RNA from Calidris pugnax (ruff), 1321 nucleotides. RefSeq lists it as uncharacterized. The record is from RefSeq and is a predicted model, not a curated record. The transcript has 4 exons. Lineage: Eukaryota; Metazoa; Chordata; Aves; Charadriiformes; Scolopacidae.
CCAAAAGGGGCAGUGAAUAGUUUAUUUUGCAAGAAUAAAGAUGAUGAUUUUGACAAGCAUGCAAUUGUAUGUGCAGAAGCUAAUGCAAUUAUUAUGAGUUCUGAGGAAGACCUGCGUGAUGCUGAACUCAUCACUACAUGUGAACCCUGCCAGGACUGUCUGAAACUGAUCCAAGCAAAGAAUAUAGCAAAAGUCAUUUGGCCUGUGCGAGACAGAAAUCAAUCCAGAGGAUUAACUGAAGAUCCUUCAGAGGGAGAGUCUGUGGCUUCAGCCGAUGGUGAACAAGCAUAAAGCUCCACAACAUCAACAUGAGCUUUAGGAUCCAACGCCCCCAGGCUCCCCAGUACCUUCAGUGGUGUUGGGAUAAUCACCUUGCCAUGGCAGUCACUCUGCUUGUGCCCACUCCCUUCCAGAAACACACCUCAUACCCAUCCCCCCACCAAAUCUUUUCUUACCAUUGCUUCUGCUGUGCUCUACAGGGGUUUGCUUCUGUCUGUGGCUUAAGGGUGGAAAAGCAUUUGCUUUCGAUGUACCUCUGAGGGGUAGUCAUGUGUGACUGUGCAGUGUCUGUGGCCAUGAAGGCAGUGGUUGUUUUCUGCAGUCCUCAUUCCCUCUGCAGGGUUUCUUCUCUUGAACUGGGGUGUUUGAAUGAGGAUUUCUCCUUUUCCUUCAUUGCAGUUUCCCACCCUCACUCAAAUUUAUUUUAUUUCAUUCAAUCAUCCUAUUUUUCAAUAUAGCUGUAUUAUUUUUUUCUUGUCAUCUUUUUCAGCUGAAAAGCAACUAGUUCCUUGUUUCCUUGUCUCUCUCUGCCCAGGGGUAUUUGGUUCUUGUGUGUCUUUUACCCUCUCCCCUUUUUCUCUGGUGUAAUGUAUAGUUUAAUUUUGUUUCAUAUUCAUGGGCCUCUUUACAUGUCCUCUAAUAGGUUCAUGGCUGUUUUUAAUUGGUCUUUGUACCAUAUUGAUCAUGUUUUAGACUUAAAUUUGAUUUCCAUCCUCGAAACACCAGACCAAUUACUGUGGAAUGUUUUCAUAUUUUUCCAGGAUAAAUCAUUUUGCUCUAAAUGAACCAGGGGUUUGCAGACUGUGGUGCUGACAGCUGCUUUUGUGCUUCUGUUUUGAUUCCCUCAACUGUAGCUUCAAUACUGGAGUUUUUUAGGAUGACCCCAAACACAGAAUCAGCUAUGAAAAUCCUCUUGAUUUUUAAAAUAUCAUUGUAAUAAUGCUAUUUUUUGUGACUUGUUAGCUUUCAGUAACUAUUCCUUUCACACAGCCACUUUAGAGUGAGAUCAUGACAGUAUUUUGCAUGGGAUUAAAUUGGAAGU